Molecule: ribosomal RNA, 393 nt
Filed under: uncultured bacterium
Lineage: Bacteria
Description: bacterial SSU rRNA
Rfam family: Bacterial small subunit ribosomal RNA
Source: RNAcentral
GACGAACGCUGGCGGCGUGCUUAACACAUGCAAGUCGAGCGGUAAGGCCCUUUCGGGGUACGACGAGCGGCGAACGGGUGGAGUAACACGUGGGUGGACCUGCCCUCCAGCUCUGGGAGUAAGCCUGGGAAACCGGGUACUAAUACCGGAUAUGACUCCAUGACGCAUGUUGUGGGGUGGAAAGCCUUGUGCGGCUGAGGAUGGGCCCGCGGCCUAUCAGCUUGUUGGUGGGGUGAUGGCCUACCAAGGCGACGACGGGUAGCCGGCCUGAGAGGGCGACCGGCCACACUGGGACUGAGACACGGCCCAGACUCCUACGGGAGGCAGCAGUGGGGAAUCUUGCGCAAUGGGCGAAAGCCUGACGCAGCGACGCCGCGUGAGGGAUGACGGCCU